This 548-nucleotide ribosomal RNA is filed under the name Bifidobacterium animalis subsp. lactis. RNAcentral's name for it is "bacterial SSU rRNA". It matches the Rfam family "Bacterial small subunit ribosomal RNA", at positions 161 to 711 of the family's 1533-position model. The record is from RNAcentral. Lineage: Bacteria; Bacillati; Actinomycetota; Actinomycetes; Bifidobacteriales; Bifidobacteriaceae.
UGGUAAUACCGGAUGCUCCGCUCCAUCGCAUGGUGGGGUGGGAAAUGCUUUUGCGGCAUGGGAUGGGGUCGCGUCCUAUCAGCUUGUUGGCGGGGUGAUGGCCCACCAAGGCGUUGACGGGUAGCCGGCCUGAGAGGGUGACCGGCCACAUUGGGACUGAGAUACGGCCCAGACUCCUACGGGAGGCAGCAGUGGGGAAUAUUGCACAAUGGGCGCAAGCCUGAUGCAGCGACGCCGCGUGCGGGAUGGAGGCCUUCGGGUUGUAAACCGCUUUUGUUCAAGGGCAAGGCACGGUUUCGGCCGUGUUGAGUGGAUUGUUCGAAUAAGCACCGGCUAACUACGUGCCAGCAGCCGCGGUAAUACGUAGGGUGCGAGCGUUAUCCGGAUUUAUUGGGCGUAAAGGGCUCGUAGGCGGUUCGUCGCGUCCGGUGUGAAAGUCCAUCGCCUAACGGUGGAUCUGCGCCGGGUACGGGCGGGCUGGAGUGCGGUAGGGGAGACUGGAAUUCCCGGUGUAACGGUGGAAUGUGUAGAUAUCGGGAAGAACACCA